Molecule: ribosomal RNA, 416 nt
Filed under: uncultured bacterium
Lineage: Bacteria
Description: bacterial SSU rRNA
Rfam family: Bacterial small subunit ribosomal RNA
Source: RNAcentral
UGGGGAAGUAUUGGUCAAUGGGCGCAAGCCUGACCCAGCCAUGCCGCGUGAGUGACGAAGGCCUUAGGGUUGUAAAGCUCUUUUGGUCGGGGAGCGGUACCCGCAGAAUAAGCCCCGGCUAACUUCGUGCCAGCAGCCGCGGUAAUACGAAGGGGGCGAGCGUUGUUCGGAAUCACUGGGCGUAAAGCGCACGUAGGCGGACUUUCAAGUCAGGGGUGAAAUCCCGGGGCUCAACCUCGGAACUGCCUCUGAUACUGUUGGUCUCGAGUCCGAUAGAGGUGGGUGGAAUUCCUAGUGUAGAGGUGAAAUUCGUAGAUAUUAGGAAGAACACCGGUGGCGAAGGCGGCCCACUGGAUCGGUACUGACGCUGAGGUGCGAAAGCGUGGGGAGCAAACAGGAUUAGAUACCCGGGUAGU